RNAcentral lists this small nucleolar RNA (107 nucleotides) under Citrus sinensis (sweet orange). RNAcentral describes it as "Plant small nucleolar RNA R71". It matches the Rfam family "Plant small nucleolar RNA R71". From Rfam's summary of the family: R71 is a member of the C/D box family of snoRNAs containing the C (UGAUGA) and D (CUGA) box motifs. Multiple nearly identical copies of this snoRNA have been identified in Arabidopsis, and it is thought to function as a 2'-O-ribose methylation guide for 18S ribosomal RNA. RNAcentral also lists the same sequence under 1 other name. Lineage: Eukaryota; Viridiplantae; Streptophyta; Magnoliopsida; Sapindales; Rutaceae. The record is from Rfam by way of RNAcentral.
AUACCAUGAUGAGGACAUCUCCUGAGUAGCUCGUUGAAUCUUUCCCAUGCAUGGUAUAAACUCUCAUUUUGAAGUUGAUGGAAAUAUGUGAUCUUGUUGCUUAAUUU